Molecule: long non-coding RNA, 10262 nt
Organism: Mercenaria mercenaria
Lineage: Eukaryota; Metazoa; Mollusca; Bivalvia; Venerida; Veneridae
Exons: 15
Source: RefSeq, a predicted model, not a curated record
UUCCCUUACCAAAAUGGAGAAAAUUGUAAACAAACUUGUUUUGAAGUUGGAAAAUUGUCUGUAACAAUUUUUGUUGUAAAAAAAAAACACGCCGGAGUUUUAGAUUGCUAAGAAGACCAUUCGUAUUGCGAAGGCAAAUGCACGUCAUUGUAUCCUGGUACUGAGGUGACCGAGGCUAUGAGGGCACUACCUCCCGGUAGUGAUGAGGUUGUUGCUUUGGCUGUGACGGAGGAGCUGUCUACUGAGGUGACUCCCUUCGCUAGCCAGGACCCCGUCCGUCCUGUUGUAGAUGUUGCGGUAAUCCCAGAGGAUACGCCCGCCGCUGACGUCGAAGGCUGCAAGAAAGAGCAUCAUAAUGCAGUUAACUGAAUUCUGUUAUGAGGCAGGAAAGGGACAUCAAAGAACAGUGGACAAGAUUUUAUUCUGAAGCAGAGGACGAGAUUUUUUUAAAGAAGGAAGAAAGGAAUAUUAAAGUGCACAGGACUGGAUUUAAUUAUGAAUCAAGAAAAGGAACAUCAAAGUGCAGUAAAUGGAAUUUUAUUAUGAAAUGCAAGGAAGGGACAUCAAAGUGCAAUGGACUGGCGACUACUGGGGAGAAGAUGUUGCUUUAAAAGAUUGCUUUUUGCUACAGGUGCAAAGCCUUGACAGAUUCCUUUACUAUUGAUUGAGACCUGCUAACAUUACCUUCGAGGACAAUCCGGUGUCUAUAUGUCCACUAGAUUGUGGCGUUUUUUGGAGCGACUGGAAGGAAAGAAAGAACAUAAAGAAGGAAUAUAAAAGUGCAAUAGAUUCAAUUUUAUGGAGCUACAAGGAAGAAUCAUCAAAGCACAAUGGACUUGGAUUCUAUUUAAAUUCAGUGGAUAGAUUGGAUUUUCUCAGAGUGAAGAAAGGAUAAUAUUAUCGUAAUGUUAUGCACGUAAUAACCCAUAAAAGUGACAUAAAAGUUUUAAUUAUUUGAAUUGAUACUUUUUGUGGGGGUGGGAAUCUCUGUCCUGUCUAUUCCAGAUCCUUCCCAUUCAUCCUAUCCCAUUACACUGCCCAUCCCAUUCCUGACUGGUUGCCCUGAUAUGUUCGUACAAAUAAUAUAUAAUAUAACAUAUCUGAAUGGAAAUAUUAAUGUAGAGCAUGGUUACAUUAAAAGCAGAGAAAAGAUGUGAAUAGAUAAAUUUAAUAUGAAAUAUGUUAGAGCGAAAAUAUGUCAUAUUCAUGCAAUUGACACUUUUUAACACUUUCUAUAGUCACACUUUAUAAGAAGUGGUAAAAGUAUACUUCUGUAUAUGUAGAUGUAUAUAUGAUAGAAAAGGUGGAAAACAUGAGUUUUUCGAGAUGUCCAUAAUAUUAUUAUGAAAAGAGACUAUUAUGUGAAGUGGAAUAAUUAUUAAAUCUGGAACCACACUUGUAUGAUCAGUUGAAAGUUCAUACACAGUUUUUGGAAGUUACACUCUCGCGAUAUUUUGAAAAGUUUGGAAAAAGAAUUGUUUGAAAGGUAUAUAUUUUUCUGUGUUACUUGCUUAUUUGCUGAAUUACAAAAGUAAUGUACAUUUCAUGUUGCCGUGAUUUUACUUACACCAAUUUAUUCAAUUUCAGUAUGAGAUAUGUUGCAGGAAAAUAGUGUCAAGGCAAGGAGAAAAGAAUAGUUAAGUGCACAGGACUGAAUUUAAUUAUGAAGCAAGGAAGGGACAUUAUAGUACAGUUGAAAGAACUUGAUAAUGAAGCAGGGAAGGACAUCAAGUGCAAGGCAGACUGGAUUUUCUCAGGAAGGAAAGAAAGAACAUAAGGAAGGAAUAUAAAAGUGCAAUAGAUUCAAUUUUAUGGAGCUACAAGGAAGAAUCAUCAAAGCACAGUGGACUUGGAUUCUAUUUAAAUUCAGUGGACAGAUUGGAUUUUCUCAGAGUGAAGAAAGGAUAAUAUUAUCUUAAUGUUAUGCACGUAAUAACCCAUAAAAGUGACAAAAGUUUCAAUUAUUUGAAUUGAUACUUUUUGUGGGGGUGGGAAUCUCUGUCCUGUCUAUUCCAGAUCCUUCCCAUUCAUCCCCAUUACCCUGCCCAUCCCAUUCCUGAUUGGUUGCCCUGAUAUGUUCGUACAAAUAAUAUAUAAUAUAACAUAUCUGAAUGAAAAUAUUAAUGUAGAGCAUGAUUACAUUAAAAGCAGAGAAAAGAUGUGAAUAGAUAGAUUUAAUAUGAAAAAUGUUAGUGCGAAAUUGUGUCAUAUUCAUGCAAUUGACACUUUUUAACACUUUCUAUAGUCACACUUUAUAAGAAGUGGUAAAAGUAUACUUCUGUAUAUGUAGAUGUAUAUAUGAUAAAAAAGGUGGAAAACAUGAGUUUUUCGAGAUGUCCAUAAUAUUAUUAUGAAAAAAGACUAUUAUUUGAAGUGGAAUAAUUAUUAAAUCUGGAACCACACUUGUAUGAACAGUUGAAAGUUCAUACACAGUUUCAGAAGUUACACUCUCGCGAUAUUUUGAAAAGUUUGGAAAAAGAAUUGUUUGAAAGGUAUAUAUUUUUCUGUGUUACUUGCAUAUUUGCUGAGUUACAAAGUAAUGUACAUUUCAUGUUGCCAUGAUUUUACUUACACCAAUUUAUUCAAUUUCAGUAUGAGAUAUGUUGCAGGAAAAUGGUGUCAAGGCAAGGAGAAAAGAAUAGUUAAGUGCACAGGACUGAAUUUAAUCAUGAAGCAAGGAAGGGACAUUAAGAGUACAGUUGAAAGAACUUUAUAAUGAAGCAGGGAAGGACAUCAAGUGCAAGGCAGACUGGAUUUUCUCAGGAAGGAAAGAAAGAACAUAAAGAAGGAAUAUAAAAGCGCAAUAGAUUCAGUUUUAUGGAGCUACAAAGAAGAAGAAUCAAAGCACAGUGGACUUGGAUUCUAUUUAAAUUCAGUGGACAGAUUGGAUUUUCUCAGAAUGAAGAAAGGAUAAUAUUAUCUUAAUGUUAUGCACAUAAUAACCCAUAAAAGUGACAUAAAAGUUUUAAUUAUUUGAAUUGAUACUUUUUGUGGGGGUGGGAAUCUCUGUCCUGUCUAUUCCAGAUCCUUCCCAUUCAUCCUAUCCCAUUACCCUGCCCAUCCCGUUCCUGAUUGGUUGCCCUAAUAUGUUCGUACAAAUAAUAUAUAAUAUAAUAUAUCUGAAUGAAAAUAUUAAUGUAGAGCAUGGUUACAUUAAAAGCAGAGGAAAGAUAUGAAUAGAUAAAUUUAAUAUGAAAUAUGUUAGUGCGAAAAUGUGUCAUAUUCAUGCAAUUGACACUUUUUAACACUUUCUAUAGUCACACUUUAUAAGAAGUGGUAAAAGUAUACUUCUGUAUAUGUAGAUGUAUAUAUGAUAGAAAAGGUGGAAAACAUGAGUUUUUCGAGAUGUCCAUAAUAUUAUUAUGAAAAGAGACUAUUAUCUGAAGUGGAAUAAUUAUUAAAUCUGGAACCACACUUGUAUGAACAGUUGAAAGUUCAUACACAGUUUUUGGAAGUUACACUCUCGCGAUAUUUUGAAAAGUUUGGAAAAAGAAUUGUUUGAAAGGUAUAUAUUUUUCUGUGUUACUUGCAUAUUUGCUGAAUUACAAAGUAAUGUACAUUUCAUGUUGCCAUGCUUUUACUUACACCAGUUUAUUUAAUUUCAGUAUGAGAUAUGUUGCAGGAAAAUGCUGUCAAGGCAAGCCGAAGAAGCAGCACUGGAUUUUCCCUGGAAAAGAAUGAAGACUGUCUGCGAAGAAAGUGACUGUAUUCAUUUGUAGUGUUUAAAGUGAAGAAAAUAAUAAAAUGUUAUUAAUUGAAAUUUAUACUUUGUGGGGGUUGGGAACUCUGUCCUGUCUAUUCCAGUUCCUCCCCAUUCAUUCCUAUCCCAAUUCAUCCUGACCCGGUCCAUCCGAUUUUUUAUUGGUAACGUAUGACAGUGUGUAAAUAUGUUUUAUUCAUGCAAUUGACCCUUACAAUAAUUUAUUAUAGUAACACUUUACAAGAAGUGGUAAAAGAACCCUUCUUUUAAUGUAAAUGUUUAUAUAUGAUAGAAAAUGUGGAGAAUAUGAGUUUUUCGAGAUGUUCAUAAUAUUGUUAUGAAAACAGUCUAUUAUCUGAAGUGGAAUAAUUAUUAAAUCUGGAACCACGCUUGCAUGAACAUUUGAAAGUUCAUACACAGUUUUCGGAAGUUUCACUCUCGCGAUAUUUUGAAAAGUUUGGAAAAAGAAUUGUUUGAAAGGUAUAUAUUUUUCUGUGUUACUUGCAUAUUUGCUGAAUUACAAAAGUAAUGUACAUUUCAUGUAGCCAUGCUUUAACUUACACCAGUUUAUUCAAUUUCAGUAUGAGAUAUGUUGCAGGAAAAUGCUGUCAAGGCAAGGAGAAAAGAAUAGUUAAGUGCACAGGACUGAAUUUAAUUAUGAAGCAAGGAAGGGACAUUAGAGUACAGUUGAAAGAACUUGAUAAUGAAGCAGGGAAGUACAUCAAGUGCAAGGGACUGGAUUCUAAUAUGUGAGAAAGGAACAUUAAAGUGCUGAGACUACCAAGGAAGAGAUGCUGCUUCAAACGAUUGGCAGAGUUGCUUUUUGUUACAGAUGCAAAGCCAUGACAGAUUCCUUUACUAUUGAUUGAGACAAACUAACGUCACCUUCGAGGACAAUCCGGUGUCUAUAUGUCCGCUAGAUUGAGGCGUUUUUUGGAGAAACUAGUCUACAACAUUGUGCCGGCAGUGUUUAGAUGAUGGUUGUUCCUCUGUGUUUUGAGAGAUGGAAUCAGGGAUUGUGAGGAUUUGCAUUUCUUUCAGGUCAACAGACUGCCAAUGACAACUGACAAUGUCCCGUUCUAGUAUACAUUCAGCGAUUGAUUGGACUUUAUUAUGAAGCAAAAAAGGAAUAUCGAAAGUGCAAUAGACUAGAUUUAAUAUGAAUCAAGGAAAUAUCAUUUAAGUGUUAUGAACUAUGAAGUUUCAGGACAGGAAGAAAUAUCAUCCAAUUCUAAUUGACUGGAUUUUCUCAGGAAGGAAAGAAAGACAUAAGGAAGGAAUAUAAAAGUGCAAUAGAUUCAAUUUUAUGGAGCUACAAGGAAGAAUCAUCAAAGCACAGUGGACUUGGAUUCUAUUUAAAUUCAGUGGACAGAUUGGAUUUUCUCAGAGUGAAGAAAGGAUAAUAUUCUUAAAUGUUAUGCACGUAAUAACCCAUAAAAGUGACAUAAAAGUUUUAAUUAUUUGAAUUGAUACUUUUUGUGGGGGUGGGAAUCUCUGUCCUGUCUAUUCCAGAUCCUUCCCAUUCAUCCUAUCCCAUUACCCUGCCCAUCCCGUUCCUGAUUGGUUGCCCUAAUAUGUUCGUACAAAUAAUAUAUAAUAUAAUAUAUCUGAAUGAAAAUAUUAAUGUAGAACAUGGUUACAUUAAAAGCAGAGAAAAGAUGUGAAUAGAUUAAUUUAAUAUGAAAUAUGUUAAUGUGAAAAUGUCUUAUUCAUGCAGUUGACACUUUCUAUAUUCACACUUUAUAUGAAGUAGUAUAAGUACACUUCUUUAUAAGUAGAUGUAUGUAUAUGAUAAAAAAGGUCCGAAAACAUGAAUUUUUCGGGACGUUCAUAAUAUUAUUAUGGAUACAGUCUAUUAUCUGAAGUGGAAUAAUUAUUAAAUCUGGAACCACGCUUGUACAGCUUUUUUGGAAGUUGCACUCUCGCGAUAUUUUGGAUAAUAUGGAAAAAGAAUCGUUUAAAAGGUAAUGUUUUUCUGCUUGGUACAUAUAUGCAGAAUUACAUUUCAUGUUGCCAUGCUUAUUUACAGUACUUAUACCUGUCCAUUUUUUCUUCAGUUAGAGCUGCAAGUUGAAGCAGGAAAAUGGUGUCAAGUGUCAAGGCAAGCCAAAGAAGCAGUACUGGAUUUUCCCCGGAAAAUUUGAGCUGCAAGUUGAAGCAGGAAAAUGGUGUCAAGUGUCAAGGCAAGCCAAAGAAGCAGUACUGGAUUUUUCCUGGAAAAUCAUAUUUGCUGACCAUUGUUGAAGCUGUGGAUUUUCCCUGGAAAAGAAUGAAGAAUGUUUUCAAGAAGAGACUGUAUUCAUUUGUAGUGUUGGAAGUGACGAAAGAAUAACAAAUGGGUACUUACUGGAAUUUAUAUUUUUUGUGGAGUUGGGAAUCUCUGUCCUGUCUAUUCCUGUUCCUCCCCAUUCUGUCUUGUCCCAUCCUGACCUGGCCCAUCCAUUCCUGAUUGAUAAUCUAGAAGUGUUUGUAAAAAGAACAUGUUGCAUAUUUGAAUGGAAUUGUAUAUUGAAGUAGUGUUACAGAAUAUGGCUACAAAAUAAGCUGAAAAAAAAUGUAUAAAAAAUAUUAAUACGAAAUAUGUUAGUGUGAAAAUGUGUUUUAUUUAUGCAGUUGAUAUAGUUUAGUUUAUUAUUGUAUAAAAAUAAAGUGUGUUUCAGCAAAGUAUAAUUUAUAAGUCUGUACGAGUUUUGUCAAACGUAAAUAUGGAUACAGUUAUACAGUAUUAUACAGGAUAUAAGAUAGAAUAAAUAUUAAACCUGGAAUGACAUUUGUAGCAAUAUGUAAUGGAAAAACUUGGUCAAUUGGGUAUAUAGACAUUCUGGAUGUAACAACAUGACAAGUCUCUUACAUUAUACUGUUUAUAGAGACAGAAGACAAAAGAUGCUGGAAAUGUAAGUAGAGGCUACAAGACUGAUUUCCAAACCAAAUGAUAGGCACUGGUAUGUAUUGUUGUUUAUAAUAAUAAUUGUAGUGUUGUUUAUAAAAGAAUUCAUUGAUAUGUUGACCUGUUCCACACAGGUAAAUGUCAACUUCUCCACUCAAAUUAGAGGUGGAGGAUGUUUGAUCUAGACUUUAGCUUAAGAGGAUUUAACUAAUGUAUUCCAUGUAACUUUUACCAUGAUUUUAGAUGCCUAAGUUCCAAAACAUUAACACUCUUAUUAGGAGAAGAAUCAGAAGGCUUAAUCAACCGAUGGUGAAAAUUGUCACAUGCUGCAAGAAAAAUGACAGCUGGAAAGAUAUAAUCCCUCACACCACCAGCACCAACUCGGACAGAAUGAUGGUCUUUCAACAUAUAGUAGAUUCACGGUGAUACAUCGUAGAGCAGAUAUAGCUGGUCAACUUAUACAAGAAUGUUGAGACAUGGAUAAUUGGUUUCCUGCAAAGAAGAAUGUAUAAUGUAACACCUGCAGCCAGAGAGUUCGGAGAAAGGGAUCAGCUCAAAGAACAUUGGAGGGGUCUGAUGACAAUAUUGAUGUAGGUUAUGAAGGGUGAGCUACCUCCUGAUGAAGCACUGAAGGCUAAAACAAUACUUGAAGGCAAGCUCUUUACACUGAAGGAAGAGAGAGACAGUGUUGCCAAGGCAAAAGACGGCUCUAGAAUUGACAGAACCUGAUCCGACAGAGCAGUGACGGUCUGUUGAAUCAGAUGAAGGAAUUACCUACCGGACUGAAUGCCGGUUCUUCAUAUGAACAUGUUAAAUGAUUGCAUCAAGGAUUUACAAAGGUGAUCUACAACAUGGUUCUACAACUGCCAAAGAGCUGGAGGGAAAUGGAGUGAGCAGAUUGCAGUACAGUCAAACCUGUCUAUAAAGACCACCCUUGGGAGAGCCAAAAUGUAGUCUUUAUUGGGAGGUGAUUAUUCACAGGUUAAAAUAUACUGUAAAUGUUAAAAUGGGAAACAAAACAUGUCUUCUUUAGAGGGAGGUGGUCUCUGUUCAGAGGUGGUCUUUAACACCGGUUUGACUGUAUACACAUCAGUGGGAGUGGAACAGGCAGAUUUCAAUACUGGAAAAGCACAAUGAAGUUCAGCUGUUUCCAGCUUGAAACACAUGGAACCUUCAGAAGCACAUAAUGACAUGGUCGACAUUAUGGAAGUUCAUGGAGUAUGCCCGUGGCCAGACAAAUCUUCAUCUCUUGGAGGUUGAAGUUGCAAGGAGAGACUGAUGGAAAAUGACAGUGACUGGACAGACAAUGAUGAUGGUGAAGAAGUAUAGAAAACUUGGGAAAACUUUUAAUAGUGGUCAUCAACAUGCAGUCAUUGAUUCCAGUAUUCCAGCCAAUGUAUCCCUCUUCACACAAGAAGCAAUACCAGGAAAUAUGUGACAUUCAGCAACGAGGUAGUCAUUUACUCCAAGUGGCAAAGUUAGAUACAGCCUGACACCAAAAUACCCAUUGGAGUGGAAUGUUUUGUGAUGUGGACACUGCAGAAUCGUGUAUUUGACAGUUUAACUUGUUAACUUUAAAGCAGUACUUGCACUGUUGUGUCGGGGGAAAAUCAUGAAAUGGAGACUAUCACUUACCAGCCCACACAGUUGACUUUGGAAGAAAUUUCUUAUCAGUCAGGAAUUGACCAAAAAGGAUGUUGAUAUUGGUGCACUUCCUCGAAGCAACUUCAGUCCUACAGAACUAAGGGGAGGCAACAAUUAUCACUAUUGACCUAGUAACCAUUGACCUAAUUCAGUAUGGGAAGAUGCCACAUGUCACACAAAGCCGCAUACCACAACAAAUCACUGUAGCACAGAUAUCUAUGUUACACCUAAAAAGGAAAUUUCACCAGAGGCACAAAGGACCACAUGGAAUAUUCAGACACGAUGACCAUAAAAAGCACAAUAGUCCAACACAUGGAAUUAAGUUGACUGUAGAGAAAUUGUGUACUUGGCUUGAAAAGAUCCUGAAGUGAUUUCGGUAGCCCGUUAUGGACGACAGUUUGAUUUUCCAGUUCUUUUCUCAGCUCUACUGUGCAUAAAAAUAACUAGGACAUUAUUCAGCUGAGUUUCUUCUAAAGAGUAUUCUUUUAAAUGUGUUCAAGAAACUGUACAGUAAACAGUCAUACCUGCUAUGACACUACUUGGUGUCAGGUACAAUGUCUAUAACUGACAGACAGACAAAUUUGUUAUGAAAAACUGGGAAGGCCUGCCAAGGAUUUUCAUUUGUUAAAGAGAAAUUUCGAGCAAUGACAUAUACUCAUGAUAAAUUUGUUACCAUAAUGUUCAUUAUCUAAAGUAGAAAAUAACAGUUGUAAUUGGAAAUUUGAAUUGUGUUACUUAACUCUAUAUUUAAGAAAAUUAAUAUAUUCAAACUUGUAAAUUUUAUCAUUUGUUAAAAUCUUAUAUUAUAGCUUUAAGCCUUAAUACCCUCUUUUUACAAUCUGCCUAAAGAAACACUUUAGUUGUUCUUGUCUAUUAAUUUAGCCAUUUCCUUGAUUAAAAAUACACAACAAACUUCUUGCUCAAGACUUUCCAAGGUUGACAAGUUAUUACUUUCUUUGAUUUUGCUUAAGUUUGUUAACUAUUGUUAAAUACUUUUGUUCAAAAUUUAAUAAGGUGUAAAACCUUUAAAUAAUAUCCUUAAGCAACAGAUGUUAUCUUUUAAUAGUAACGUAAGGAGAAGACAACCUUUACUGUAAGCUAAUAUAGCUUUCUGUCCAAUGCCUGAAAUGUUUUUUUUGUAAAUAUUUCUUGACUUUCUGAAUGAAAAUGUUUAAAUUGAAAUUAUAAGUAAAGUAUAUAAACCCAAACUUUUAAGGAGCUAGAAGACAAAAUUUCAUUUCAGCUUGUGUAUAAAAUUAACUUUGUGAUAUUUUUCUUAGUGAUAAGUUUCUCAGUGAUAACUAGACAUUUAAUUUUAUAUCUGUGUAGAUUUUUGUACAGUUAAUUCAGACAAUAUUUGUAAAGAUUUUUUAUGUUUUAGGCUACCUUAUUAUUUAUAUUAGAAAAAAACUGUUAAAUUUUAAUUACUUUAUAAGUGUACAUGUAAAUCCUAUUUCACUAUACUUACAUAUUAUUGACAGCUAAGGGACUCUGUUGGAAAUAAGUGAAAUUGUUAACUUUCAUGGUUUAUCCAAGGCAGAAAGAUAAUUUUUUCCUGAUAUUUAUGUAUUAGCUUAAUUACACUUGUAAAGUACAAACAUAUAAGGGUUAACUGCAUAUUUAUUAAUUCUGAUAUUUGGAUUUCUGUACCAGUUUGUAUUUCUGUUAUAAUUGGAUCUUACGCCUGAAUAAAAUUGAAUUGAAUUGAACUGAAUUGGAUUUUAAACUGAAACUAAACUGAACUGAAUUUUACACUGAAACUGAACUGAACUGAAUAUAUCUGGGUAAAAAUCUACAUUACAGCUUUCAUUAAAAGACCACCAAAAGGAAGGAAAAAAAACAUGUUCUCUUUAUGCAGUAUAGUUUGUUCUUUGAUAACAUAAAAAAGGGAACUGAAAAACUGGUCUCUUACUGCAAGUAGUCUCUAAAUCAAAUGUACUUUAUGAAACUUAUUAUGCUUUUGUGCUGCAAAUUUUGUAAUGUAAUUUUGUUGUGUCUAUGAUGAUUUCUCUAAAUAAACUUUAAACAUUA